UUAUAAUUAAAAGUUAAUUAAAAAGAAAUUAAAUGAGUUCAUUAAAUUUAAAUAAUUUGGCGGUAUUUUAAAUAGUUAGAGGAAUUUGUUAAUUAAAUGAUAGUCCACGAAUGGAAUGUCCUAAAGGGUUUUUAUGUAUUGUUGUAUAAAAAUUAUUUUAAAAGAAUUAUGAUUGAAAAAUUUGAUAUAAUUUGAAUUCAAAUCAAAAUGUAGAAUUUUUAGGUUUAAAUGAAUUACAUUUUAAUUUAAUAUUGGAGUUAUUUUUUUAAUUAAAAUAAUUACAUAGGAUUUAAAAGUAAAUUUAAAAAAAUAUUUAGAUUGAAAUAAUAAUUAAAAUAUG
RNAcentral lists this ribosomal RNA (340 nucleotides) under Pheidole truncula. RNAcentral's name for it is "partial 12S ribosomal RNA". The record is from RNAcentral. Lineage: Eukaryota; Metazoa; Arthropoda; Insecta; Hymenoptera; Formicidae.